RNAcentral lists this ribosomal RNA (685 nucleotides) under Lactarius cyathuliformis. RNAcentral describes it as "eukaryotic LSU rRNA". The stretch from base 207 to 360 matches the Rfam family "5.8S ribosomal RNA". The record is from RNAcentral. Lineage: Eukaryota; Fungi; Basidiomycota; Agaricomycetes; Russulales; Russulaceae.
AAUGUGAGGGGCAUGUGAGGGCUGUCGCUGACUCAAAGUCGUGCACGCCCGAGUGUGUCCUCUCACAUAAUAAUCCAUCUCACCCUUUGUGCAUCGCCGCGUGAGCACCCUUUGGGAUCAUCUCGGAGGGGGCUCGCGUUUUCACACAAACCCCCCUUUUAAAAGUGUAGAAUGACCUCAUUUAUGCGCUAACACGCAAUCAAUACAACUUUCAACAACGGAUCUCUUGGCUCUCGCAUCGAUGAAGAACGCAGCGAAAUGCGAUACGUAAUGUGAAUUGCAGAAUUCAGUGAAUCAUCGAAUCUUUGAACGCACCUUGCGCCCCUUGGUAUUCCGAGGGGCACACCCGUUUGAGUGUCGUGAAAACCUCAACCUCCUUGGUUUCUUCUGGAGACCAAAGGCAGGCUUGGACUUUGGAGGCCCUUGCUGGAACCUCUCUCUUUUGAAGGCCAGCUCCUCUUAAACGAAUUAGCAGGGUCCUCUUUGCCGAUCCUCGACGUGUGAUAAGAUGUUUCCAUGUCUUGGUUUCUGGCUCUGUCACUUUUGGGACCCGCUUCUAACCGUCUUGACCUUGCAUCGAGACAAUGUUCGAGCAUGUCUCCCUUCUCGGGAAGCUCCCUCGACCCCACAAACCCUUGACCUCAAAUCGGGUGAGACUACCCGCUGAACUUAAGCAUAUCAAUAG